CUUAGACUAAGACGUCGUUGCGCGAAACUUCAAGUACCCGCGAAUCUCUGGUAUGUGUCUUUUGGUGAGUUUUAAUUUGCGUCCGUAGUCCUCAUAAUGGUGUUUUGUGCAGUUUAUAAUUGAAGGAAUGGCCACAAGAGUUCUUUAAGAGAGAGUAGAGUAACAUUCCACAGUGCCGCGUGUAUGCUGUUUAGAAAGUACAUCUGCGUUUGUUCCUCGAGUUUUUAUGUGUUGCUAAUCAUCAUUAAACCUAACGGUGGUUUGGGAGCUUCAUGCCCCCUGAUCUGGACGUUUAUUUUGCGCAAAAUCGCAAAUGGUCGAGAAGCCUCUUUGCGCAACUUGCUGGACAUCUGUACAAAGAAAGCUCCCUUCUCCACCCACUGAGUACAGAUGUUCCGCCAGAAAGAUGGCGUUGCCAGGGGCUCUCCUCUGGAGUACUCUUUGUCAACUUCUAUAUGGGCACCGUGGAAGAUAGUCUUGGCCCAGAGCAAAUAUCCCCGCAAAUACGCCCGUUACGUAGACGAUAUCUUCGUGCAAGUCGACACUGAGGACGAGGUAGAAGCCCUUCGUCGCCAAUUCCAGCAAUGCAGCGUGUAAACUACACAGUCGAAUUUAGCACCAACGAUCAGCUCCCCUUCCUUGACAUCCUUAUAACGAAGACAGAAGAUGGUCCCUGCACUUCUGUCUACAUGAAGAAGACAAAUUUAGGCCCUUUCUGAAAAGGGCCUUCCCCCAUUGUUCUGCCAGGCAGGACACACACCUCGAGCUUGGUAGAGCUUCACAGAUGCUCGUGAACAACCGAUAUCCUAAUAAACUCAUCAACCAAGAAGUGCGCACUGCCCUCGAAAAAUGGUGCUCAAAUGAGGAAGGAGAUUCACGACCCCGCCCCACCGAGAACAUCAAGAUAUAAGGCCUUCAUGCACACUCAGUACCGCGAGGAGGAGAACUCGAUGAAGAAGAUCAUCCAGGAGAACAUCCUCCCCAUUGAAGAAGGCAAGAUGGUGGACCUUAAAUAUACUACAAAAACAGGGAAACAAGAGAUCUAAUAAUGAAAAAUAACUCCUCACCGCCAUCAGGAGACCCCCUCAUGCAGAAGAACGUAGUAUACCAAUACAUAUGCCCCACCCGAGGAUGUCCUGGGAAGUACAUUGGAAUGACUACAAUGUGCCUUGAGAAGAGAAUCUCCUGUCAUGCCCAAGAAGGGGCCAUCAAGGAUCACGCCCUCACCACCCACCGAGACACAAUCUCCUGCGACUGUAUUAUCCGCAACACAGGAAAAUACGGAGAGCACCUAACCCUCACCAUCUGCGCCUUCUGGAGGCGUUACUCAUCCAGGAGCAAAAGCCCUCCAUGAAUACGACACAGGAGGCCUUUUUGCUCCUGACCUGUGUGUGAAGAAACGUACCAGUAAAGGCAAACACCACCAUAUCGCUGCACGGAGACACUCCAAUUCAAGAGGAAAAUAACACCGAAGACUGCUUUAAUACCAUGAGUAAUAUCAGCUGUGACGUCACACAGCUAUUGAACAAUCGAAAUAAUGACCGACGUUAUGCCAUGCAGCUGAGAAGAUUGGCACACCUGUUGAGCAUGCCAGGCAGCCAAUCAUAAAGCAGCUCGCCAUUCAUUAGCCAAUGAAAAAGCAUGAAGUCCCUAUUACACCACUACUACUGAAGCAGACGGACUCACCCUCUCACUUCAGUCCAUCACCUACCUCCGCAUGAGAGGAUGUCUGGAGUCUCAGACGAAACAUCGCUGCCCCACAAUAGGAAUAGAAUAGAAUUUUACCUGUAAUGAACUCUACGGGAUAUACACUGAGAAUUUGACUACUGCCACCGGCAUUUUUAAUAAAAUUAAAUAGACUUUGACUAUUACCUAUUUGAGACAUGCCAACCUUUGGUGCGUUGCUCACCAGUUUAAGCAACAAUGAGAAAAUAAUUAGAAAAAUAGAGAAGAACCUUUAUAAAAUUAACGCAGCUG
Molecule: long non-coding RNA, 1977 nt
Organism: Macrobrachium nipponense
Lineage: Eukaryota; Metazoa; Arthropoda; Malacostraca; Decapoda; Palaemonidae
Exons: 3
Source: RefSeq, a predicted model, not a curated record